UGGGGAAUAUUGCACAAUGGGCGCAAGCCUGAUGCAGCCAUGCCGCGUGUGUGAAGAAGGCCUUCGGGUUGUAAAGCACUUUCAGCGAGGAGGAAGGUGGUGAGCUUAAUACGCUCAUCAAUUGACGUUACUCGCAGAAGAAGCACCGGCUAACUCCGUGCCAGCAGCCGCGGUAAUACGGAGGGUGCAAGCGUUAAUCGGAAUUACUGGGCGUAAAGCGCACGCAGGCGGUUUGUUAAGUCAGAUGUGAAAUCCCCGGGCUCAACCUGGGAACUGCAUUUGAAACUGGCAAGCUAGAGUCUCGUAGAGGGGGGUAGAAUUCCAGGUGUAGCGGUGAAAUGCGUAGAGAUCUGGAGGAAUACCGGUGGCGAAGGCGGCCCCCUGGACGAAGACUGACGCUCAGGUGCGAAAGCGUGGGGCAGCAAACAGGAUUAGAUACCCUGGUAGUCCACGCUGUAAACGAUGUCGAUUUGGAGGUUGUGCCCUUGAGGCGUGGCUUCCGGAGCUAACGCGUUAAAUCGACCG
Molecule: ribosomal RNA, 525 nt
Filed under: uncultured bacterium
Lineage: Bacteria
Description: partial 16S ribosomal RNA
Rfam family: Bacterial small subunit ribosomal RNA
Source: RNAcentral